GCGUUUAAAAAACCAGUGAAAAUAUGAUCUUUAGAUUUGUAUAGAUUUUACAAUCCCUCUCUAAGAAGUCCAAAUUUUUUUAUUCAGUUUUUUACUUAAAUUCAGAUUGCAAGGAAUUUUCUAAAACCGCACCUGUAUACAUCUACGAAGUAUUCCGCAACAUUUCAAUGUGUUACAAGAUUCCUGUUUAUUUGAGACGCAAAAACAGAAUUUGUAAGAAGUUUUGACAAAAGUACAGUUCUAAUGCGUUGAUGAACUUUCUAGAAUAAAUGUUGAAAAUCAAUUUGAUUGGUUUGUUUGAAUUUGGUACAAAGAUCGAAGCUCGUAAUUGGCUCUGAAGAACGGAAGCCGGAAAUUGCGUAGUGACAGGAUCAAGGAAUUUUGGCAGGAGACGGAGAAGAAAGCAGGCAUUCUUACAAUGGUAGUGAAUCAGUAAACAUCGAUAGUGAGUUACCGGCUUUUUUGUGACGCAAAAAGAAUUUCCAAGUAAAUGGGAUCUAUCAAAGUUCUUCUGUGUUGUUGUUAAGUAGGUGUACCAUCAGUUUGAUGGUGUAGCAGUUCCUUUUUUGAUGGUAAAAGUGUAAUAUACGCUUUGUAAAAAUACUGCGUAUGUAUUUAUGAAAGCCGGCAUAGUACUAAUAUCGUAGUGAUGAAUUAAACCCAAGCCUCCCGUCUCCUGGAUUAGAAAACCUAUUUCCCGAGGUAAAUAAGCAAAUUUCUUUUGUUUUAUGGUAUUUUCAUGGUAUAAUGGUAUAUGGUGCAAUCAGUAAUUUUCCAUUGACAUUUUCCCCUUCGAGUGACGUAUGAACUACGUACGUGCUGUCAAGUGUCAUGUCAAGUUUCACAAUGGUGAAGUUUUGAAUUUUAAGGUAUAGUGACUUUUAAUAAUUAUAAAAUUCUCAAACUAAUAACGUUAAUUUCUUUCAACAUAAAAAAAAUAAAUCUUUUUGGAACUUAAAAUACAAAGAUGAAAAAGUAAAUUGUUGAACAGAACAAAGAAUAAUUUUGCUUCCAUCAUUAAAAUAUUAUUGUAAAGACAUAAUUGUAAGUUAAUGUUAAAAUCCUUUUUGAAACCUUUUGAAAUAGUUAAAAAUAAAAGAUUUACGGAAUGAUAUUUGACAGGUGACAUAGUUGUUGUUAUUUUCAAUAAUUAAGUACUACGAGGAGUAGUCAGUAAUUCUUUAAUGUAAACAUUGUUCCCUGAAUGAAUAUAAAUUUUUGUUUUAAUGCAAAUGCUAUAAUAUAUGUCAUAAUUAGGUCAGUCAGUCAGUUAUACAAGUCAUAAUUAAGUCAGAUAUCAAAUCCUCAAUGCAAUAAUAUUAUUGUUUAUCUUUUGGUGCACCAUAACCUAUGUUCAGAAAAGUAGAUGUAUUUUUUUUUACAGCUUUUUAGAGUCAAAUUUUAAGAUGUUGGAUGAUCAUAGAAAGUAAAACUCCUGGUAAGGCGCCCUAACAAAAUAUAGCCAGGAUUUAUAUUUAACACCCCAGGAUAUCUGUAAGUACCCUUGUUUAAAUUUUUGAUAGUAGUAAAUAUUCCCUAAUCCCUAACUUCUUCUUAACGAACUCACAACCUUAGCUCUCCAACCAAAACACGAGCCGCCGUAGCAAAGUAGUUUUUAGAAAUAUCCCCUAGUUUUCUCGACCCUUUUGUAUUUAAGCAGUAUCUAAAUUUUCCAAGCUUUUAUCUUCCCCCUUAUUUCUAAGUGCUA
This 1708-nucleotide unclassified non-coding RNA is filed under the name Diabrotica virgifera virgifera (western corn rootworm). RNAcentral's name for it is "uncharacterized LOC126885628". Lineage: Eukaryota; Metazoa; Arthropoda; Insecta; Coleoptera; Chrysomelidae. The record is from RNAcentral.